This 468-nucleotide ribosomal RNA is filed under the name uncultured bacterium. RNAcentral describes it as "partial 16S ribosomal RNA". It matches the Rfam family "Bacterial small subunit ribosomal RNA", at positions 28 to 507 of the family's 1533-position model. The record is from RNAcentral.
GACGAACGCUGGCGGCGUGCUUAACACAUGCAAGUCGAACGGAAAGGCCCUGCUUUUGUGGGGUGCUCGAGUGGCGAACGGGUGAGUAACACGUGAGUAACCUGCCCUUGACUUUGGGAUAACUUCAGGAAACUGGGGCUAAUACCGGAUAGGAGCUCCUGCUGCAUGGUGGGGGUUGGAAAGUUUCGGCGGUUGGGGAUGGACUCGCGGCUUAUCAGUUUGUUGGUGGGGUAGUGGCUUACCAAGGCUUUGACGGGUAGCCGGCCUGAGAGGGUGACCGGCCACAUUGGGACUGAGAUACGGCCCAGACUCCUACGGGAGGCAGCAGUGGGAAAUAUUGCACAAUGGGCGGAAGCCUGAUGCAGCAACGCCGCGUGCGGGAUGACGGCCUUCGGGUUGUAAACCGCUUUCGCCUGUGACGAAGCGUGAGUGACGGUAAUGGGUAAAGAAGCACCGGCUAACUACGUG